RNAcentral lists this ribosomal RNA (335 nucleotides) under uncultured Alphaproteobacteria bacterium. RNAcentral describes it as "bacterial SSU rRNA". It matches the Rfam family "Bacterial small subunit ribosomal RNA", at positions 39 to 419 of the family's 1533-position model. Lineage: Bacteria; Pseudomonadati; Pseudomonadota; Alphaproteobacteria. The record is from RNAcentral.
GCGAUACACCUAACACAUGCAAGUUGAACGCAUAUAUUUUUAUAUGAGUAGCGAACGGGUGCGUAACACGUGAGAAUCUACCCAUAGCUUAUGGUUAAAUGCCGUAGAAUCUUAUAGAUUUAGAUAUAUAUCGGUUAUGGAUGAGCUUGCGGGGUAUUAGGUAGUUGGUGUGGUAAUGGCGCACCAAGCCCAAGAUACCUAGCCGGUUUGAGAGAACGAUCGGCCACACUGGGACUGAGACACGGCCCAGACGCUUACGAGCGGCAGCAGUGGGGAAUAUUGGACAAUGGGCGAAAGCCUGAUCCAGUGAUAUCGCUUUGGGGAUGACGGCGACA